GACGAACGCUGGCGGCGUGCUUAACACAUGCAAGUCGAACGGAAAGGCCCCCACCUUGGUGGGGGUGCUCGAGUGGCGAACGGGUGAGUAACACGUGGGUGAUCUGCCCUGUACUUCGGGAUAAGCUUGGGAAACUGGGUCUAAUACCGGAUAGGACCAUGGUUUAGUGUCUCAUGGUGGAAAAAUCAUUGUUUUGGUGCAGGAUGAGCUCGCGGCCUAUCAGCUUGUUGGUGGGGUAAUGGCCUACCAAGGCGUCGACGGGUAGCCGGCCUGAGAGGGUGGACGGCCACGUUGGGACUGAGAUACGGCCCAGACUCCUACGGGAGGCAGCAGUGGUGAAUAUUGCACAAUGGGCGCAAGCCUGAUGCAGCGACGCCGCGUGGGGGAUGACGGCCUUCGGGUUGUAAACUCCUUUCGUUAGGGACGGAGCCACACCUUUUUUGGGUGUGGUGACGGUACCUUUGUGAAGAAGCACCGGCUAACUACGUG
RNAcentral lists this ribosomal RNA (489 nucleotides) under uncultured bacterium. Its description in RNAcentral is "partial 16S ribosomal RNA". It matches the Rfam family "Bacterial small subunit ribosomal RNA", at positions 28 to 507 of the family's 1533-position model. The record is from RNAcentral.